This is a non-coding RNA of Hordeum vulgare subsp. vulgare (domesticated barley), 136 nucleotides long. NCBI's taxonomy places the organism in Eukaryota, Viridiplantae, Streptophyta, Magnoliopsida, Poales, Poaceae. The record is from Rfam.
UACGUACUCCUUCCAUCUCAAAAUUCUUGUCUUAGAUUUGUUUAGAUAUGAAUUUAUCUAGUCACAUUUUAGUAUUUAGAUACAUUCAUUUUUAGACAAAUUUAAGACAAAAAAUUUGAGACAGAGGGAGUAGUGU